Molecule: long non-coding RNA, 2594 nt
Organism: Lotus japonicus
Lineage: Eukaryota; Viridiplantae; Streptophyta; Magnoliopsida; Fabales; Fabaceae
Exons: 3
Source: RefSeq, a predicted model, not a curated record
AAAGGGAAAAAGAAAAAUCCAAAAGGGUUUCGAACUUUUGAUAUUAAGGUGGAGCAAUGUUGGUUGUUGCAGUAGAGAAAAGGAAAUGAGGGACAGAGACACAAAGCAAGCAAGAAAAGAAAUUAAAACAACCCUAAUUCAUUUCCAAUAGAUAAGAUAGGUAGUAUUUAGUUGCUGGUUGAGUGAGUGGUUAGAGUUAAGGGUGCUGCAUCUAUAGAUAUGUGCAUUUUGCCAAAUGUAGGAGGACAUGAGGUUACAGAUCUGAUCUGACUCCCUCACCAGAAUUCUGAAAACUCUGAUAUAUUCAUCCUAGUUUCAACUUUCAAGUUAGAGUACUGCAGAAUAAACAGUCAAUUAACAUGGAUAUGACCAUGUUUUGAAUCAAAAUUACUAUAUUUUGAGUAAUUAGAAAAGAGGGAUAUAGUAGAGAGAGUAGUUGACAGAAGAGAGUGAGCACACGCUCGUAGUUAUUGUAUGAGGGCAUACAGUUGCGGGUACGUGCUCACUUCUCUUUCUGUCAGCUUCUCAUUUUUCUCUCUCACUGUUUCCUCUCUUUGAUCAUCUCAUGUUUUUAUGUUUUUCUAUUCCUUGUUUUUAAUUUUCUAAGAUAUUUUGGCACACUUGUAAGCUUCGUUUAUAGUGCAUAUAUACUUGUCUCAUUCAUUCUCCGAAUUGUCUCUGAGUCACUGCAGUUAAUGGAUGAUGAUCAUCCUUCAUUUUUAUGUGUGAAGCGUGUCUUUGAGUUGUGUGCUAUGUGUUGUUGUUUCAACUGUGCACAGACCAUUCUAUGGUCUUGAUCCAUUCAUCUGCCAUAUUUUCUUUGGUGUUUCAUCUGCCAUGGUCUGGUCUCAUCCUUAUUUGUUUAUGGUUUAAUUUAUUUUAUUUUAUAAGUUCAACUCCAUAUAUUAACUAUUAUUUAUCUUAUCAAAUAAUAUUAUUAUAUAUAUAUAUCUGUGCUAUAGAUGGAGGUUCAGAGCGUGACUUUUAAUGGUCCUUCCCUUCCCAAAUGGAGUUCAUCAAGGUACGCCUUACGACGGAUUUUGAGACACUGUUCAUCCCUUAACGGAAAAGUGAAGUUCUUCUUGUCUUUCUCUCCUAUGACCUACUUCCUCCGUCCCUAAUUAUAAGCUAACAUAAGUUAAUAUUUCUUUCCAUAUUCACCCUUGCAUUUAUUGGUAGUGGAGCACCACCAUUAGUAGUACAAUGAUGAAAAAGUGUUAUCAUAAAUAGGGGUAAACAUAGAAAGUUGUACAUUUUUUUUGAAAACCAAUGCAUCAAUUAAGGCUUUCUUAAUAAGUGUGAUUUUUACAACUUUAGCUUAUAAUUAGGGACGGAGGGAGUAUCAUUCUUGUACUGGUUCUUGGAGACCAUGCUGGUUUUCUCCCCAUCUGGUCCAGAAUUUGUGUUAUCUCAAUCCUCACCCUUUUUGUUCUUAUUUGCUGAUCUUUUUAGGUUGGCUCUUCAGAGAAGCAAGGAGCAAAGUAAAGUUUAUGGCUUUAUAAUAAUAAUAAUUAAUAUUAUUUUUUGUCUUGAAUUUGAAGGGCCAGAAUCAAAUGAUGCAACUCAACUAUAUCUUAUGGGUAGAUAUGCAUUUGUUUGCUACCAUGAGUAAAAGGAAUUCAAGCAGCGGCCUUGCUUAAACAGGAGUAGCGAUUGUCAAGGAAAGCUCUUGAAAAUCUGUCUCGGAAGGUUAGAAGAACUUGAAGCACUGUAAUCACUCAGAAUCUGAUGGAAAAGUGCAAAACUUUUAAUCAUGCUGCAAGUUGGGAGAAUAUACGAGCACAGAAGAUGAAUAUUCAAAUGCAUGUUAGUAGGAGCUAUGAACAAGGCUUGCUAUAGAGCCACGAGCGAGUAUAGCCGUCUUUAUUACGAGUCAGUCAAGGCAAUGGAGGUGGUUUCCUUAUAUAGAGAUGAUAGCGGUGGAGUGAGAAAUUCCAUGUUAUGGAUUGGACUUAGUCGCUCUCUCCGCUUGCCCUUAGGAUGUUAGGACAGUUAGAGUACUGCUACAUGCAAUUUCUUAGCUUGCAUGACAUGAUAGCCUCGGGUUCUUUUCCGUAUAAUGAAGUGUGGUUGUGGGGCGUUUUCCCUAUUCCUUAUCCAGAAUCCAGACAAAAGUCCAAAUUGCUAACAUGGCAAUGAACCUCUUGUGAAGUUCCCAGGUUUUAAGACCUUGCAGAUGCUAAUAGUACAGUGUGCAGCUAUCAAGUUCGGUGACUGCUAGCAAGAUUUCCAAAAUGAUUAAUAUAAAAGGAGAGAUUAUGUUCAAUAUGGAUGGUGCAUACGUCUUAUCUACACAAGCUUGUAAUGAGUCAUGACUCGUUGCAAAGAUGUUAGAAGUAAUGAUCUUAACUUUUUGUAUAUGAUGCAUCAGAUAAGGAUGCUCUUGGGUACAGACGUUAAUUUGAAUAGUGGAGUGUUGUCCCUAGAAGACAAGCCACUACAUGUUUUACUCACCUUUUUUCUAAAAUUGUAAGAAGUUAAGUGAUUGAAGCAUCCACAUGAUUCCCUUGUGGUGAAUGAAGGAGUAGUAAGUAACUUGGUUGAAAAGGUGCAACCUGAGUUGAAACCUGAACCAGGUCUAGAUUUUAAUGUCA